Molecule: transfer RNA, 73 nt
Filed under: bacterium
Lineage: Bacteria
Description: tRNA-Cys
Rfam family: tRNA
About the family: Transfer RNA (tRNA) molecules are approximately 80 nucleotides in length. Their secondary structure includes four short double-helical elements and three loops (D, anti-codon, and T loops).
Source: RNAcentral
GGCGGCGUAGCCAAGUGGCUAAGGCGGAGGCCUGCAAAGCCUCUACUCAGCGGUUCGAAUCCGCUCGCCGCCU